Molecule: long non-coding RNA, 378 nt
Organism: Oncorhynchus keta (chum salmon)
Lineage: Eukaryota; Metazoa; Chordata; Actinopteri; Salmoniformes; Salmonidae
Exons: 3
Source: RefSeq, a predicted model, not a curated record
ACCCAUAGGUGAAGCCCUCAGGGAGUGGGUAGUUGGUGUGGGUGGGAGUUGGAUGUAGUUCUCACCCAUAGGUGAAGCCCUCAGGGAGUGGGUAGGGAAUGUGGGUGGGAGUUGGAUGUAGUUCUCACCCAUAGGUGAAGCCCUCAGGGAGUGGGUAGGGAAUGUGGGUGGGAGUUGGAUGUAGUUCUCACCCAUAGGUGAAGCCCUCAGGGAGUGGGUAGGGAAUGUGGGUGGGAGUUGGAUGUAGUUCUCACCCAUAGGUGAAGCCCUCAGGGAGUGGGUAGGGAAUGUGGGUGGGAGUUGGAUGUAGUUCUCACCCAUAGGUGAAGCCCUCAGGGAGUGGGUAGGGAAUGUGGGUGUUGGGCAUGAGGAAGAACG